This 503-nucleotide ribosomal RNA is filed under the name uncultured Bacteroidales bacterium. RNAcentral's name for it is "bacterial SSU rRNA". It matches the Rfam family "Bacterial small subunit ribosomal RNA", at positions 227 to 728 of the family's 1533-position model. Lineage: Bacteria; Pseudomonadati; Bacteroidota; Bacteroidia; Bacteroidales. The record is from RNAcentral.
GGGGAUGCGUUCCAUUAGAUAGUAGGCGGGGUAACGGCCCACCUAGUCAACGAUGGAUAGGGGUUCUGAGAGGAAGGUCCCCCACAUUGGAACUGAGACACGGUCCAAACUCCUACGGGAGGCAGCAGUGAGGAAUAUUGGUCAAUGGGCGAUGGCCUGAACCAGCCAAGUAGCGUGAAGGAUGACUGCCCUAUGGGUUGUAAACUUCUUUUAUAAAGGAAUAAAGUCGGGUAUGCAUACCCGUUUGCAUGUACUUUAUGAAUAAGGAUCGGCUAACUCCGUGCCAGCAGCCGCGGUAAUACGGAGGAUCCGAGCGUUAUCCGGAUUUAUUGGGUUUAAAGGGAGCGUAGAUGGAUGUUUAAGUCAGUUGUGAAAGUUUGCGGCUCAACCGUAAAAUUGCAGUUGAUACUGGAUGUCUUGAGUGCAGUUGAGGCAGGCGGAAUUCGUGGUGUAGCGGUGAAUGCUUAGAUAUCACGAAGGACUCCGAUUGCGAAGGCAGCCUG